RNAcentral lists this ribosomal RNA (702 nucleotides) under Triticum aestivum (bread wheat). Its description in RNAcentral is "partial small subunit ribosomal RNA". The record is from RNAcentral. Lineage: Eukaryota; Viridiplantae; Streptophyta; Magnoliopsida; Poales; Poaceae.
AUGUGGUACGAACUUAAGGAAAUUUGCAGCAAUGUGGUUUUGAAUGACCAGCAGGACAGCUAUACCUGGCUGCUAACUAAAUCUGGAAGAUUCUCGGUUAGAUCCUUGUAUUGAGCUCUUCAGACAGAUCAGGCAGCUUGGCCUCAUAGGAAACUGUGGCAAGUUAAGAUUCCCUUGAAAGUUAAAGUUUUCUUGUGGUUAAUGUUUAGAAACAGUAUAUUCACUAGAGUCAAUUUAACAAAAAGGAACUGGAGGGGUAAUGAGAGAAACUGUAGGUUUUGUGAUUUUCUUGAAACAGUUGAAUAUCUUUUCUGUACAUGUGUGGUUGCUAGGUUCAUAUGGGGGGUAAUAAGAAGUAUCACUGCCAGACAUGAUAUUCCUCGCGAGAUUGAAGAGUUUAGCAUUUGGAUUGAGAGGCUCCCUAAAAAGAUUAGACAGGUAGUGGCAAUGGGUGUUGCGGCAGUGUUUUGGACUUUGUGGAAAGCCAGAAACGCUGCUACUUUUCAUCAUGUUUACUCACAUAAUCCUAGUGUUUUGUUUUUCCAAAUUUCUUACUGGACAUCAUAUUGGGCCGGUUUACAGGAAAAAGAAGGGCAAUGGAUGCUGCGAGCCGUAGCAACCAUGCUGUUUGAAGUAGCAAAUGUUUUCUUUAACAAGAACAAAGGUUGGGCGCCCAUGGUCAGAUGCUCAGGAGUGGGUUGA